GCGGGGGUGCCGGAGUGGUCAAACGGGCUGGACUUAAGAUCCAGUGGCUUAGUGCCUGCGCAGGUUCGAAACCUGUCCUCCGCA
Molecule: transfer RNA, 84 nt
Filed under: Candidatus Woesearchaeota archaeon
Lineage: Archaea; Nanobdellati; Candidatus Woesearchaeota
Description: tRNA-Leu
Rfam family: tRNA
About the family: Transfer RNA (tRNA) molecules are approximately 80 nucleotides in length. Their secondary structure includes four short double-helical elements and three loops (D, anti-codon, and T loops).
Source: RNAcentral